RNAcentral lists this long non-coding RNA (768 nucleotides) under Phasianus colchicus (ring-necked pheasant). RNAcentral describes it as "lncRNA (ENSPCLG00000013180.1)". Lineage: Eukaryota; Metazoa; Chordata; Aves; Galliformes; Phasianidae. The record is from RNAcentral.
AUGGGGAGGACACAUGGGUUCACCUGUACCCCUGCAGGGCCCUGUGGCCCCUUCUCCCUUUACUGCAGGCUCUUGGGUAUAUGUAGCUUCCAUUGCUUGCCAUUGUUUCCUCCUUGCAGGGGAUUCGUGGUGGUCGGGGCAUUGGCAUCACCCUAUGGAACAGCCCUUGUGAUGCAAGGCUUGGGAGGGAGCUCCUCCCAUUGGUCUGAACUGGGGAAGGCCCAGCUCCCACCUCGUGCUGGGUGUCCCAGUCGCUGGGUGACCAUCCUCAGACCCAGCGCUGUCACCAGGAGCAGAGCAUCGCCCUUCACACACCAUUACUCCUCACCCCCAGAGCCUUUUCAUCUCUUAUCAGCCGUGACCCUCGGGCUCUGUUAUCUCCCCCCAGCCAUCCACCGAAGCCUUAGAGCUGUCAGCAUGGGGAAUGACCUUCACCUCCUCACUCACCUCCAGGAGAUGCUGUGUCCGCUCGGCCGGGCGCAUGGUUGGCUGCAGCAGCACUGCCUGCUGCCCGGAGCCAGGUGCUUUCCCACCCUGGGGAGUUGAAGAGGAGGUGGCAGCGUUGGCUGUGGGUUGUUUCUGAACUCGCCCAUGGAUUGCUAAUGAUGUUUGUGAAAGCCCUGAAUGAAGACCACACACGGGAGGCUCAGGCAAGUGAUGUACCUUAGACCUGGAGGGUGAGAGGGAAAAAUGCUUUUGUGCCUGACUCACCGGCUCUGUGCUAACACUGACUCAUAAUUACUGAUUUUGAUUCAGGGGAAAAAAAAA